GUGUAGACGUGGCUCUUGCGUAUGGAGCGUCUGAAGAAGCCCUUACAUCCGUCACAGCUGGAGGCUCCGUAGUGUUUCCCCGUGGCUUUGUCUCCACAGAUGGCACAGUUACUGCUCACCCCGUCUGGCAGGUUGGGCUCAGUCGGCAUGCUGUCUGAAACACAGAAAGAAUGCAUGAUGCAAGGGACCACGACGAGCACCACGAUCCACACCGCUCCACUGAUGAGGAGAGCGUGGAACUUCUGGAAGGAUACCACAAGCUCAGUGUUGUAGUAGAACGACAUCAAGCGUGUGACGAGGAUGAUCACGUAGAAGAGGAAGGACAUGUACAUGUGGAUGUGGAUCAUGCCGCUGAUCACCCGGCACAACCCGGGGCCCAGGUCCCAUUGAUGAUUGGCGUAAUAGUAAAUCCUGAAGGGCACGGUCAGGAGGAAGAUGAAGUGGGUGAAGAUGAGGUUGAGUACGGCUAUGGAGGUGAUAGAUGUGGAGCUGAACCUCAUGAUGUGCAUCAUCAGGCUCAGGCUGAUGAUGCCACUGAGCAGAACUACUGAGUUGAUGACCAGGAGGACGGUGUGGUACUCUUUAGGGUCUGACGUAUUUUCCAGGGGGGCUACGGUGUUCGGUGAGGAGCUUGAGGUCAUCAUGGAGGUCAUCAUGGAGGUUAAGGCCGAAGAUAACACGCUUUGGGGGACCGUGGUAGCCAUCUUAGAUAGGGAAAUAUAAUAAUAGCUUGGAUUUAUAUAGCGCCUUUCAUGAGACCCAAGGUCGCUUUACAAAGAAGAACAGGGCAAAACAUAACUAAACAAAAGGCAGUCAGACAACCAGUCAGACAGACAAAAACAACAAAUAGAUUAGGGGCCAAAGGCCUUAGUAAACAGAUGGGACUUGAGGGCCCUUUUGAAGGCGUCAAGCGUGGGGAUGUUCCGGAGAAAGAAAGAGGGGAGGAGAGAGAACAGGAGGGAUUGACAGAGAAACUGAAGAUUGGUGAUGUGAUGGAGGGAAUCAAUCAGUUAAGGGCUUCUUUUUAACUAUUUCGUCCAUGUUGUGGGAAUUUUUCUUUCCAUGUUUUCUCCUUUAAACGUUUUUUUUGGGGAGUAAAAUUGUAAAAUUGACUUGACCAUUAAAAAACCCCGAAGUAGGCUUAACCAAAAAAAUAAUAAUACUAAAUACAAAAUAAUGUAAAAAAUUGGCUCAUGUAGCUUAUGUUUUAAACACUACAUUAUAUUGACAUACUUCACUGAUGCUAUUUGUUCAUAUUUGAACACAAAAUCCAGAUUAAGACAUUGACACCGAAGAAUAAUUUUGUCGGAUGCUUCAAGUGUUCAUUUUAACAGGAAACCAAACUUAAAACAUACUAAAGAUAUUACAUCUCCAAAAUACAAACCCUAAAAUACAAAGGUAAGAAACAAACACAUUGUUCAGGCCAUCAAAAGAACAUUGUGAAACUGAAAAGGAAAUAGCAUUAUAAUCGAAAAAGAAAAAAAAGACUUACUUACUUUUUAGUUCUCAGAAGAACCGCCAGCUGAGUGCUCUUGAAUGUGUGAAAAUGAGGCAUACAGAGCGAGUAUUUCCUCUACAUUAAAUCUAAUUAUCUUUGUCAUUAGAUUUUGUCGGCGCACAUGGGAUAAGCUCUUCGUGUGGUAACGCCUAUGUGUGUGUCUGUGCACUUAUUGGUACCAACUCAUGUGGAAGUUGAGAUUGUGAAGAUCAACCUUGUCUGUGUUUCACCAACCACAGUUCAGUUUUGCAUAAUAGUGUGCGUGUACUCCUUUAGCAACUGGAGGUGUUUCACAUGACCAGGAACUUGGCUGCUUCCUCCUUCUGGUCACUACACUUCUCUACUUAUUAAUUUCUUUAAUAUUAAACUAUAUACAAAUCAUUAUAAUUUGAAACUGUAGAGACAAUGCCAUGUAGAAUUGUUGACUAGAAAUAGAAAUGUAUAAUGUAGGAGCAACAUAAACAAUACUUAAUGCAAUACACUCUUUACCUAAUUUUAAAAUACUCUAUCCUCCAAGUGUCUUCCUCCCAAGUGAGGAAUGACAUUUGGAAAGAAAUCUAUUAAAUGAUUUAUAUUAUGUUGUGCUUACUCAAUACAAAUCUAAUAAAUUGUUAUCAAAUGUAUGAGUCCUUAUAGCUAUCAUCAUUAUGCCAUGUUACAAGCAGGUUAAACCUAAUCAAAACUAUAUUUAUAAUGCAUUAUAGUCAUGUGCAUAAUAGAAAGGAUACUGCUAUUUAAAAUCUCAUAUGUGAGUUUUUUUGGAUUACUGUUUUUUUGUACAAAAAGCAAUCAUAUUCUGCAGAAGUCAUGUUUGUCUUGAGUUUCUAGGAACCACAAAGAGUUCAGACAGAUCAGCUCUUACCCAAAUAGUCUGCUGCUCUUAAUUAUUGCAUGGAGAUCCGUGACACUAUACAACAACAGUUGUUUACUGUACAUUACACUAUGGAGUCAAAGUUUUGGCCCAUUGAAAAUAGAAGAAGUGAGAGAGGAUGUGGUACUGCUAGCUGUGAUGUGGAGACAUGUGUGCAAGCACUUAGUUAAAAGGCAAAUAGUGCCACUCCAGCUGGUGCAAUGAAGCUGAGAACAUUUAGAUAUAAAUAUUUAUCAUAUUCAGAAAAGACCCACAGAUGUAAGUACAGAAAAUCCCUUGUCCACAAAGCGAGGUGAUUUGAUUAAAGUAGUAAGUUAUAUUUGGCUAUGUUCAGUCAGUUCAUGCAGUUAAUAUUAGCCUACUUUGCUACCCAUCAUGUCCCGAAGUUUGAUCUGGAAAACUAAAUUGCACGAGAAAACCAGGUUUUUUAAAUGUAUUUAAACAAACUAUCCAUAGGUUUUUCAAAACACAUCUUAACAAUCUUAUGUACAGACAUUUACAAGUUUGCUACCCACAAUCCCUUUGCUGCCCACUGAGUACAGGCUCUACAAACAGAGCAUAACAUUGAUACUGGCACCUGGUGUAUUCUGUUAAUGUUUAAUACAAAACACAUGUCUCUUUUUGUUCAUUCAUGUCCACAAACAUAUCAUCACAAUUUUCUUUAAAUAAAUCCCUUCUCCUUACCUUGUGAGCAUGACACGUCUCGGGUAGCUUCCCAGGAAAUACAAACUCAAAACAGUUGACCUUUCUUUGGUGGAUCAUGAACCAGCAUCCUUGGCAAAGGCAUAAGUUACAGUCCGAUAUUCAAAUGGCCUUAGUCCAUCCGUCAAUGAUUAAUGUAAAAACAAUAAUGUAUCAACUCCGUGUACAAAAGAAUACAGUGCAAACAGAACCUUGGACAAGUCUCGAGCCACUUGAAAAUGUCCUAUGUAAACCAUCUAUCUAAGGAGUUAGUGUUUAUUUACAUUCAUACAAGGAGGAACAAAGGAAUAAUGUUCUCAACCUGCACUAAUUCACUAUUGUAGACAUUUUUAAAGCAGUUCUGAGAGGAUAGUUGAAAGCAUCUGACCAAAAAGGAUGUACAAGAGGGGAUUUCCCACAAUCCAAAACAAUGUAGCUUAGUGGUGUGAGACUCUGUACAGUAUAAUGACUCAUAAAACAAUAUCCCGUAUAAACUAACCUUGGCUUAAUAAGGUGAAUGCUAAAUGAAAAGCACCUAUACAAAACACUUGGUUGCACUAUACAUGUUUAGGGGAAGUGGGUCUUGCGCUUCCUCCACAGAAUGAGUCUUUGUGAGGUGAGAAUGUGCGUGACCACGCUGAGCAACAUCAGGAAGAUGGUCAUCGACAUCACUAUCACAUAAUGGCUGAUGCUGAAAGAGACAGAGAAAUACGUUGAAUACACUUAAUCAAGUGUAUGCAGCACAUUUAAAGUAGAGGCCGAAAGGAUCAUCAAGGAAUGUGGAGGGUAGUGUUAUUGUCAAGUGAUUUAUUGGUAAGAAUUAAGACACUUCAAAGCAUGUAGGUAACUAACCUUGUUCCUAUGUCCAACCAGCUGCCGUAGUCCUGCACCAGGAAGAAAAAGUGCUGAGGAGAAGAAGAAUGAGUUGAAGAUGUGGAAAGAGCCAUCAAGUCCGAGAUGACCAGGACAAUGAGGAACAAACUGGAAAACAAGAAUACAAGAGUGGAAAGAAAGCGUCAAAAUUGUCGGAUCUUGGUGAUGUCGAUGUUUGCAGAGAAAUCGAUAGUGGAGAGCUGAAAGAAAACACACACAAAAGCAUUAUCACACAUUCAUUUACACACCCAGAGAGAUGAUAACGCAGGUAUGUGGCUGUGAGGGAGAGGAAUAUGCUGAGGAGUCGGUGGAAGAUACGAGUAGAGCUCAACAACGGCACCAGCAUGGAAGACGCUGAGAAGACACAAGUGAGGAGAUUCUGAGGUGUUGGACAGAUGGUGUGCUCACUCACACCUGCCUACCUAACGUGGUCCAGCUGAUGAUCUGGUUCAGAAGCGGCAGGCCCUGUUUCUGCUGCAGGCUGGAGUGUGUGAGGGACGGCACGUACGCACACACUGCCACAUGGAGCAUCUGUGUGACAGGUGAUCAUUUAUUUCAGAAAAUGCAAUGACUCAAUCACACCCAACGUGACAUGUCUUGUAGUUACCUGGGUGAUGAACUGCUGCCGGUCAGUGAGGUGCAGCGGAGCUUUCUGCAGCGCGGACCACAGGUAACAGGCAGAGGUGAAGAGAGAGAGCACACCUGCACAGCUGGAGCAGUAAUCCAUGACAUAGUUACCUUGGCUUUUCCAAAAAGUCCUGAGAGGAAGGGCCAGAGUGAGAGGACAGCCAGGCCCACAGUCAGCAUGGCGCGAUGGAAGAAACUCACCACCUGGGGGCAGCAAAGAGGAGGAACAUGAGUGGAUACACUUCAAAGGAUCUAAUUAACACUUCACUGCCGCUGUGCCAGACGUGCAUGAACAUGUUUGUGUGAGGUGUAGGAGAACCUGGGUCCUAAACUAAAAAAAAAACAGCUUGAGAGGCAUUAAAGCAGGCAGCUGAGAGAAAAGUAAAUGAGUUUAGCACCUUGUAAGAAUCCAUCGUUGUAUGGUUGGGCUGCGGUGACUUUUUGGGCAUUUUUAACUCCGGCUCCCCACGCCACUAAAGGUGUGAGAGUCUCCGAGGGAUGGCCUGCUCCGUGGGAACCUGGAGACACAACAGACGAUACAAAAGGCUACUGUGAAUUCAUUUGCAUAAGAAAUUUUUUUUCCAGUUGCUGACAGUUGAAGAACAACAACAAGAGUCCUACCCCAGUUUGUCAUGCCAUGAUCAGAGGUGAACACAUAGGCUGUUCUUCCAUCAUGAUCAAAGAAGUCUUCCACCAUAGACACCAAAUCAGCUACACCAGUGUCUACCAGUCCAAUAUUGUCGAGGUACUCCCUAGAUAAAGAACAGAUACAAGACAUUGCUUAUUUGUUAUUUCAUUAUAUUGUAUAUGCAGUGCAACCUAAACAACAACUGAUGACAUUUCUCUCACUUCGACAUUGGUCUGUGAGCAUGUCCGUUUGUGUCGAUGCCCAGCAGAUGCAGGAAUAAGAUGUUCUGAUCCUCCAGCAGACUGGCCCUCAGACUGGAGUUAGACUUGGCUGACUGGAAGAAUGACUGGUGCAGAGAGAAAAAUAAACAUAGUAGAAUCUGUUAAAGAUGGCAUGUGG
Long non-coding RNA from Gymnodraco acuticeps, 5577 nucleotides. RefSeq lists it as uncharacterized. The transcript is spliced from 9 exons. NCBI's taxonomy places the organism in Eukaryota, Metazoa, Chordata, Actinopteri, Perciformes, Bathydraconidae. The record is from RefSeq and is a predicted model, not a curated record.